UCCCUGGUAGCUCAGAUGGUAAAGAAUCUGCCUGCAAUGCAGGAGACCCAGGUUCAAUCCCUGGGUUGAGAA
This 72-nucleotide transfer RNA is filed under the name Bos taurus (domestic cattle). It matches the Rfam family "tRNA". Rfam says of the family: Transfer RNA (tRNA) molecules are approximately 80 nucleotides in length. Their secondary structure includes four short double-helical elements and three loops (D, anti-codon, and T loops). Further hydrogen bonds mediate the characteristic L-shaped molecular structure. tRNAs have two regions of fundamental functional importance: the anti-codon, which is responsible for specific mRNA codon recognition, and the 3' end, to which the tRNAs corresponding amino acid is attached (by aminoacyl-tRNA synthetases). tRNAs cope with the degeneracy of the genetic code in two manners: having more than one tRNA (with a specific anti-codon) for a particular amino acid; and 'wobble' base-pairing, i.e. permitting non-standard base-pairing at the 3rd anti-codon position. RNAcentral also lists the same sequence under 5 other names. The record is from Rfam by way of RNAcentral. Lineage: Eukaryota; Metazoa; Chordata; Mammalia; Artiodactyla; Bovidae.